This 121-nucleotide transfer RNA is filed under the name Propionibacteriales bacterium. RNAcentral's name for it is "tRNA-OTHER". The record is from RNAcentral. Lineage: Bacteria; Bacillati; Actinomycetota; Actinomycetes; Propionibacteriales.
GCCGGGCGUAGCGGUGACGCGACGACCCGCAGGUCAGAGCACACUUCCGCAAAAUGCUGCGAGGUUUGGCGAGCACUCGCCGAACGUCGUGGUGUCGCGGGUUCGAGUCCCGCCCCCGGCU